UACGUAGGGGGCAAGCGUUGUCCGGAAUCAUUGGGCGUAAAGCGCGUGUAGGCGGUCCGGUAAGUCCGCUGUGAAAGUCGGGGGCUUAACCCUCGGAUGCCGGUGGAUACUGUCGGGCUUGAGUACGGAAGAGGCGACUGGAAUUCCUGGUGUAGCGGUGAAAUGCGCAGAGAUCAGGAGGAACACCGGUGGCGAAGGCGGCGCUCUGGGCCGGUACUGACGCUGAGGAGCGAAAGCGUGGGGAGCGAACAGG
RNAcentral lists this ribosomal RNA (253 nucleotides) under uncultured bacterium. Its description in RNAcentral is "partial 16S ribosomal RNA". It matches the Rfam family "Bacterial small subunit ribosomal RNA", at positions 524 to 776 of the family's 1533-position model. The record is from RNAcentral.